Molecule: ribosomal RNA, 567 nt
Filed under: Phyllobacterium ifriqiyense
Lineage: Bacteria; Pseudomonadati; Pseudomonadota; Alphaproteobacteria; Hyphomicrobiales; Phyllobacteriaceae
Description: bacterial SSU rRNA
Rfam family: Bacterial small subunit ribosomal RNA
Source: RNAcentral
UGCAAGUCGAACGCCCCGCAAGGGGAGUGGCAGACGGGUGAGUAACGCGUGGGAAUCUACCCAAUUCUUCGGAACAACACAUGGAAACGUGUGCUAAUACCGAAUGAGCCCUUCGGGGGAAAGAUUUAUCGGAAUUGGAUGAGCCCGCGUUGGAUUAGCUAGUUGGUGGGGUAAAGGCCUACCAAGGCGACGAUCCAUAGCUGGUCUGAGAGGAUGAUCAGCCACACUGGGACUGAGACACGGCCCAGACUCCUACGGGAGGCAGCAGUGGGGAAUAUUGGACAAUGGGCGCAAGCCUGAUCCAGCCAUGCCGCGUGAGUGAUGAAGGUCUUAGGAUUGUAAAGCUCUUUCACCGGUGAAGAUAAUGACGGUAACCGGAGAAGAAGCCCCGGCUAACUUCGUGCCAGCAGCCGCGGUAAUACGAAGGGGGCUAGCGUUGUUCGGAUUUACUGGGCGUAAAGCGCACGUAGGCGGACUUUUAAGUCAGGGGUGAAAUCCCGGGGCUCAACCCCGGAACUGCCUUUGAUACUGGAAGUCUUGAGUUCGAGAGAGGUGAGUGGAAUUGCG